UAGGGAAUAUUGGACAAUGGGCGCAAGCCUGAUCCAGCCAUCCCGCGUGAAGGAUUAAGGUCCUAUGGAUUGUAAACUUCUUUUCUCUGGGAAUAAAAAGCGGGGUUCACCCUGCCUUGAAGGUAUCAGAGGAAUAAGCACCGGCUAACUCCGUGCCAGCAGCCGCGGUAAUACGGAGGGUGCAAGCGUUAUCCGGAUUCACUGGGUUUAAAGGGAGCGUAGGUGGCUUUGUAAGUCAGUGGUGAAAUGUCGCAGCUUAACUGCGAAACUGCCAUUGAUACUGCUUAGCUUGAAUCACGUCGAGGUGGAUGGAAUAUUACAUGUAGCGGUGAAAUGCUUAGAUAUGUAAUAGAACACCGAUUGCGAAGGCAGUUCACUAGGCGUGUAUUGACACUGAGGCUCGAAAGCGUGGGGAUCAAACA
Molecule: ribosomal RNA, 422 nt
Filed under: uncultured bacterium
Lineage: Bacteria
Description: bacterial SSU rRNA
Rfam family: Bacterial small subunit ribosomal RNA
Source: RNAcentral